Ochlerotatus camptorhynchus is the source of this 1367-nucleotide long non-coding RNA. RefSeq lists it as uncharacterized. NCBI's taxonomy places the organism in Eukaryota, Metazoa, Arthropoda, Insecta, Diptera, Culicidae. The transcript is spliced from 3 exons. The record is from RefSeq and is a predicted model, not a curated record.
UACCAGGUAGGCAGCUGGUUUGUGCCAUCAUCAGUCGGGCAUUGAAAAGCAAAAGAAACGGCAAUGUAUCGAGUUCAUAUUCCGAGUCUAGAUGUGUUCUUAUUUCGUUUUUGAAAGGUCAAGGUUGCUGAUAAUUGAAAAUUGGCAAAGUGUGUGAAUUGCUGCCGAUGCUGACGCUGUUUACGAGAGCAAAGUGUGUGAUGAAAGAUGGAGAAAUAUGCGAUUACAAUUUGAAAAAAUUUGAAAGUGUGCAAUGAAGAGCACUGAUAAAUGUAAAAGCAUCUCGUAGCGUAGUGAGAGCAAAAGUGUUGCACACGGAAUUUCCGAAUGAGUUGUUGAAAUGCAGAUGAACAGCUGAUUGCUUGCAUUAUUGGUGGCGGCUAUUAAGAAGACAAGCGUGAAUUUGUGACAUGCGGCUGGUGUGAGGUAUACAUAGAUCGAGAUAUCGAAAAGUGCAUCCAAAAGGAUUUCAGCCAUAACGGACGGGAAAGUUGGAUGCGGCAUAGACGGUGAAUGCUUCGGUGAUCAUGAGGCGUGAGAACGGAUGGUGCAAGCGGUUUCAUAUCUGUGGAUUCUUUCUGGUGCAGAUUGUAGUCUUGGUUUGGACUAAUGAAACCAUACAGACAGUGGACUCACCCUAUGCAAACGAUAAUAAUGCUUUAAAAGAGGUCACCACGACUGAAAGUAUUCACACAACGAAGCUAAUCGAGGAAAUUACCGACAAUAGUAUUUUGAUUAGUCCUACAUCGAAUCAAGCUCUCCUGGAAUUAGUUUUUCUGGAGGAAAAUAACGUCGCUGUCCCAUCCGCGGAAGAUGAUGAUCAUUUCAGUAAUGACACAACCGAUCUUACUACUGCCUCUUAUUCAUCAAAGGAAACUAUCGACCAUGUUAUUACUUCGGACGUGGCGAACCAAACCGGCCCGGUUAUUCCAGAUGUGGAAACAACUUCGUUGCCAUCAUCGAAUUGUUCCAGUUAUGCUAUUCAUAGCAAUGUCGUUGAUUUGUCCAUUGGUGGUGAGUACCGCAACGUGAGACAUCAAGUGCGCAACCAUCGUCGCCAUAAUCAAUUGACGGUCUUAAGUGGUGAUCAUGACACUGCAGAAGUCGAGAGCCGUAAUGGUAGCUCAAUGGAGAGCGGCGUUCAUCAUUUCGUUUAUUCGCUCGAGGGGGACUUUUCGAUUUCGUUGAUUACCGACCAAGACGAUUUCGGUGCAAGUCUGUUCACGGUGGAUCGCAUCAACGAGCUUCAAUUGAUAAAUGAUAAUGGCACUUUGGGAUUGAGAAUUGUGGUGGUGCCGAAUAUUUCACAUGCGUUGGAGUUGCUGAAAGAAGAGGUUGAAUUUUUGAAGCACUGCCUGCCAAAUUCU